Molecule: long non-coding RNA, 667 nt
Filed under: Solanum tuberosum (potato)
Lineage: Eukaryota; Viridiplantae; Streptophyta; Magnoliopsida; Solanales; Solanaceae
Description: long non-coding RNA (STUB_LNC000087)
Source: RNAcentral
UGAAGCUAUAUGUGAAGGUAUGAUGUGAAUGAAGAUAAUGUGAUCAUGUUAUGAAUGUAAAGGUGUUGUUGUAGGUUGUUCACUGGUUUGGUUGUAUAAUUACUACCCUAUUUUCCAUGCUCUUUGAUUCCAUUACAUGCCUUCAAGGUGUUUGACAAAAUGUCCAACUAUGGAGAAUUGAUGAAUCGAUGUUUUAAAGCUUGAGUUAUGAGAUGUAUGGAAAUUCCAUAGAUGUGUUGAUGACACUCAUGAAUGUUAAUGAUAGAAUAUGAAGGAUUCUUCAAUAUAAAGUAUACCUUGAAUUGGUAGGGCUUAUGCAUCCUUUUCAUGUAUAGAUGAUUAUAUUGUUGAUUGUUGAAUCCUUGGAUCGGUAGGCUAAUGGCACCCUUCCACACAUGCUUAUAAUGUACCUCGGAUCGGCAGGCUUAUGGCACCCUUCCAUUAAUGAAAAGUAAUGAACCUUGGAAUCGGCAGGCUUAUGGCACCCUUUCAUGUCUGAUAAUGUCAAAGUAAUGAACUAUUCUAUGGGAAUGUAGGCUAAGCACCGAGCGGAUUUGGUUAGAUGGAAACUCCCCCGACAGUUAGGCAUGAGUUUCAAUGAUCGUCUACCUUAUCCCAUAAACUAUGUGCCCGCAUAGGAAGCUAAUGGAUCCAUUAAGCUAUAUAU